GUUUUAAAUGGAUUGAACGAGAGAGUUUGAUCCUGGCUCAGAUUGAACGCUGGCGGCAUGCCUAACACAUGCAAGUCGAACGGUAGCAGGCCUUCGGGUGCUGACGAGUGGCGGACGGGUGAGUAAUGCGUAGGAAUCUGUCUUUUAGUGGGGGACAACCCAGGGAAACUUGGGCUAAUACCGCAUGAGCCCUGAGGGGGAAAGCGGGGGAUCUUCGGACCUCGCGCUAAGAGAAGAGCCUACGUCUGAUUAGCUAGUUGGUAGGGUAAAGGCCUACCAAGGCGACGAUCAGUAGCUGGUCUGAGAGGACGACCAGCCACACUGGGACUGAGACACGGCCCAGACUCCUACGGGAGGCAGCAGUGGGGAAUUUUUCGCAAUGGGGGCAACCCUGACGAAGCAAUGCC
RNAcentral lists this ribosomal RNA (407 nucleotides) under uncultured bacterium. RNAcentral's name for it is "bacterial SSU rRNA". It matches the Rfam family "Bacterial small subunit ribosomal RNA", at positions 1 to 398 of the family's 1533-position model. The record is from RNAcentral.